UAGGGAAGUCUUCCACAAUGGGCGGAAAGACCUGAUGGAGCAACGCCGCGUGUGUGAUGAAGGGUUUCGGCUCGUAAACACUGUUGUAAGAGAAGAAUGACAUUGAGAGUAACUGUUCAAUGUGUGACGGUAUCUUACCAGAAAGGAACGGCUAAAUACGAGCCAG
Molecule: ribosomal RNA, 166 nt
Filed under: uncultured bacterium
Lineage: Bacteria
Description: partial 16S rRNA
Rfam family: Bacterial small subunit ribosomal RNA
Source: RNAcentral